This 236-nucleotide ribosomal RNA is filed under the name uncultured Glomus. RNAcentral's name for it is "partial 18S ribosomal RNA". It matches the Rfam family "Eukaryotic small subunit ribosomal RNA", at positions 617 to 884 of the family's 1831-position model. RNAcentral also lists the same sequence under 1 other name. The record is from RNAcentral. Lineage: Eukaryota; Fungi; Glomeromycota; Glomeromycetes; Glomerales; Glomeraceae.
GGGUUAAUAAGUUGGUCGUGCCAAUGGUAUGUACUGGCUUUAUUGAUUCCUACCUCUUGAAGAACUGUGAUGCCAUUAAUUUGGUGUUGCAGGAAAUCAGGACUGUUACCUUGAAAAAAUUAGAGUGUUUAAAGCAGGCCUACGCUUGAAUACAUUAGCAUGGAAUAACGAAAUAGGACGUUUGAUUCUAUUUUGUUGGUUUCUAGGAUCGACGUAAUGAUUAAUAGGGAUAGUUG